CGCGGCCUAUCAGCUUGUUGGUGAGGUAAAGGCUCACCAAGGCAUCGACGGGUAGCUGGUCUGAGAGGACGAUCAGCCACACUGGGACUGAGACACGGCCCAGACUCCUACGGGAGGCAGCAGUAGGGAAUCUUGCGCAAUGGGCGAAAGCCUGACGCAGCAACGCCGCGUGGGGGAAGAAGGCUCUAGGGUCGUAAACCCCUUUCAGCAGGGACGAAAAUGACGGUACCUGCAGAAGAAGCGCCGGCCAACUACGUGCCAGCAGCCGCGGUAAUACGUAGGGCGCAAGCGUUGUCCGGAUUUAUUGGGCGUAAAGGGCUCGUAGGCGGUUUGGUAAGUCGGGUGUGAAAACUCAGGGCUCAACUCUGAGACGCCACUCGAUACUGCCAUGACUAGAGUCCGGUAGGGGAGUGCGGAAUUCCUGGUGUAGCGGUGAAAUGCGCAGAUAUCAGGAGGAGCACCAACAGCGAAGGCAGCACUCUGGGCCGGUACUGACGCUGAGGAGCGAAAGCGUGGGGAGCAACCAGGAUUAGAUACCCUGGUAGUCCACGCCGUAAACGUUGGGCACUAGGUGUGGGUCCCAUCCAACGGGAUCCGCGCCGCAGCUAACGCAUUAAGUGCCCCGCCUGGGGAGUACGG
RNAcentral lists this ribosomal RNA (639 nucleotides) under uncultured Actinomycetes bacterium. RNAcentral's name for it is "bacterial SSU rRNA". It matches the Rfam family "Bacterial small subunit ribosomal RNA", at positions 232 to 885 of the family's 1533-position model. The record is from RNAcentral. Lineage: Bacteria; Bacillati; Actinomycetota; Actinomycetes.